Molecule: ribosomal RNA, 425 nt
Filed under: uncultured bacterium
Lineage: Bacteria
Description: partial 16S ribosomal RNA
Rfam family: Bacterial small subunit ribosomal RNA
Source: RNAcentral
GUGGGGAAUCUUGCGCAAUGGGCGAAAGCCUGACGCAGCCAUGCCGCGUGAAUGAUGAAGGUCUUAGGAUUGUAAAAUUCUUUCACCGGGGACGAUAAUGACGGUACCCGGAGAAGAAGCCCCGGCUAACUUCGUGCCAGCAGCCGCGGUAAUACGAAGGGGGCUAGCGUUGCUCGGAAUUACUGGGCGUAAAGGGCGCGUAGGCGGACAGUUUAGUCAGAGGUGAAAGCCCAGGGCUCAACCUUGGAAUUGCCUUUGAUACUGGCUGUCUUGAGUACGGGAGAGGUGAGUGGAACUCCGAGUGUAGAGGUGAAAUUCGUAGAGAUUCGGAAGAACACCAGUGGCGAAGGCGACUCACUGGCCCGUUACUGACGCUGAGGCGCGAAGGCGUGGGGAGCAAACAGGAUUAGAUACCCUGGUAGUCC